RNAcentral lists this ribosomal RNA (492 nucleotides) under uncultured bacterium. RNAcentral's name for it is "partial 16S ribosomal RNA". It matches the Rfam family "Bacterial small subunit ribosomal RNA", at positions 29 to 507 of the family's 1533-position model. The record is from RNAcentral.
AGUGAACGCUGGCGGUAUGCCUAACACAUGCAAGUCGAACGGCAGCACAGUAAGAGCUUGCUCUUACGGGUGGCGAGUGGCGGACGGGUGAGGAAUACAUCGGAAUCUACUUUUUCGUGGGGGAUAACGUAGGGAAACUUACGCUAAUACCGCAUACGACCUACGGGUGAAAGCAGGGGAUCUUCGGACCUUGCGCGAUUGAAUGAGCCGAUGUCGGAUUAGCUAGUUGGCGGGGUAAAGGCCCACCAAGGCGACGAUCCGUAGCUGGUCUGAGAGGAUGAUCAGACACACUGGAACUGAGACACGGUCCAGACUCCUACGGGAGGAAGCAGUGGGGAAUAUUGGACAAUGGGCGCAAGCCUGAUCCAGCCAUACCGCGUGGGUGAAGAAGGCCUUCGGGUUGUAAAGCCCUUUUGUUGGGAAAGAAAAGCAGCAGGUUAAUACCCCGCUGUUCUGACGGUACCCAAAGAAUAAGCACCGGCUAACUUCGUG